Molecule: ribosomal RNA, 253 nt
Filed under: uncultured bacterium
Lineage: Bacteria
Description: partial 16S ribosomal RNA
Rfam family: Bacterial small subunit ribosomal RNA
Source: RNAcentral
GACGUAGGAGGCGAGCGUUAUCCGGAUUCACUGGACGUAAAGCGCAUGUAGGCGGAUGUCUAAGUCGUGUGUUAAAGCCCCUGGCUCAACUGGGGGAGGUCAUGCGAGACUGGAUGACUUGAGGGCAACAGAGGCACGUGGAACUCCCGGUGUAGCGGUGGAAUGCGUAGAGAUCGGGAAGAACACCCGUGGCGAAGGCGGCGUGCUGGGUUGCAACUGACGCUGAGAUGCGAAAGUGUGGGGAGCAAACGGG